GCAGGGGCCAGUGUAGGAAAAGAAGCCGGGGCGAGGCAAGGUGGAGGAUAUCCGGGGUCAGGGGUCCCAGGGACGCUGGAGCGAGCCCUCCUGAGUGGUGGGAUGCCACCGACACCUUGCUUCUCCCUAGCUUCUAGUGCUCGGCGCUCAGAGGUCAAAAUGGUGUUCCAUGAAAAAAAAAAAGUGACUAGUUAAGCUCACAGUUCAAACAAGUGCAAAUGCUUUUCUGGAGACAACCAUUGUGCUGCAUCGGAUAUGGCAGAAGUGCUCUAUGUUGCUUCCCAGAAUAUUAAAAAGAUGUAUACUCAAGGACCAGUAUAUUGUGAAUGGGAUCAUUUUUAUUGCUGCAUCAAAGACUUUCCUGGUCGAUGUUGGCAGUGUUUUCCUAUGAGGGCGUGGCAGUGAAAAAUGCGAUGACUUCCUGUACAUCGCAUUGGAGGCCGCCACGUUGGCUUUUGCACCGUCAGGGAAAUGUCAACCCAGCAA
This 486-nucleotide long non-coding RNA is filed under the name Homo sapiens (human). RNAcentral's name for it is "HSALNT0363812". Lineage: Eukaryota; Metazoa; Chordata; Mammalia; Primates; Hominidae. The record is from RNAcentral.